RNAcentral lists this ribosomal RNA (315 nucleotides) under uncultured bacterium. RNAcentral describes it as "bacterial SSU rRNA". It matches the Rfam family "Bacterial small subunit ribosomal RNA", at positions 28 to 334 of the family's 1533-position model. The record is from RNAcentral.
GAUAAACGCUGGCGGCGUGCCUAACACAUGCAAGUCGAACGGGCGAAGCCUUUAAGUUUACUUUAGGCCUAGCUAGUGGCGGACGGGUGAGUAAUGCGUGAGCAACCUGCCUUUCAGAGGGGGACAACAGUUGGAAACGACUGCUAAUACCGCAUGAUGUAUUUUGGGGGCAUCCUCGAGAUACCAAAGAUUUUAUCGCUGAAAGAUGGGCUCACGUCUGAUUAGUUAGUUGGUGGGGUAACGGCCUACCAAGACUGCGAUCAGUAGCCGGACUGAGAGGUUGAACGGCCACAUUGGGACUGAGAUACGGCCCAG